Molecule: small nuclear RNA, 104 nt
Organism: Trichechus manatus latirostris (Florida manatee)
Lineage: Eukaryota; Metazoa; Chordata; Mammalia; Sirenia; Trichechidae
Source: RefSeq, a predicted model, not a curated record
GUUAGCUUCAGCAGCACAUACAUUAAAAGUGGAAGGAUACUGAGAAAAUUAGCAUGGCCCAUGCAAAAGAUGACACACAAAUCCCUAAGAAGUUCUAAGUUGUC